Molecule: ribosomal RNA, 492 nt
Filed under: uncultured bacterium
Lineage: Bacteria
Description: partial 16S ribosomal RNA
Rfam family: Bacterial small subunit ribosomal RNA
Source: RNAcentral
AGUGAACGCUGGCGGUAGGCCUAACACAUGCGAGUCGAACGGCAGCACAGUAAGAGCUUGCUCUUACGGGUGGCGAGUGGCGGACGGGUGAGGAAUACAUCGGAAUCUACUUUUUCGUGGGGGAUAACGUAGGGAAACUUACGCUAGUACCGCAUACGACCUACGGGUGAAAGCAGGGGAUCUUCGGACCUUGCGCGAUUGAAUGAGCCGAUGUCGGAUUAGCUAGUUGGCGGGGUAAAGGCCCACCAAGGCGACGAUCCGUAGCUGGUCUGAGAGGAUGAUCAGCCACACUGGAACUGAGACACGGUCCAGACUCCUACGGGAGGCAGCAGUGGGGAAUAUUGGACAAUGGGCGCAAGCCUGAUCCAGCCAUACCGCGUGGGUGAAGAAGGCCUUCGGGUUGUAAAGCCCUUUUGUUGGGAAAGAAAAGCAGCAGGUUAAUACCCCGCUGUUCUGACGGUACCCAAAGAAUAAGCACCGGCUAACUUCGUG